GCUAUGAUCUGAUCAAUCGCUUCAAGAUCCCCAUUUCUGCCCUGGUGUCCUUUGUGGAAGCUCUGGAGGUUGGAUACAGUAAACACAAAAAUCCUUAUCACAACCUAAUGCAUGCUGCAGAUGUGACACAAACAGUCCAUUACCUCCUCUUCAAGACAAGCAUAAUAGUACGUACAGGAGUUGGCAUCCUUAAUACAUCAUGAGAUUACAGUAGUUUUUGUUUGGUAAGGAGGAUAUCAUGAUCCACACAGAACCCACUUGUACUGUAGAAAAGAUGUAGUUUGCAAUGUCUGUGCUAAUGCAAGUAGACAUUUGGGAUUAUUUAGAAGAAUUUGGGUGAGGAUUUGGGUAACUGUUUUAAUUUAUUGGAGAGAGGAUGAGUGAAAAACCCAAGCUGAAUUCUCCCCUCUGCCACCGAUCUCCUGGCUGAGUCUAUCAAGUCAGUUUGUUGAAAUUAUACUUCACUUUCUGUGAAGAAACAAAUCUCCUAAGCUUUCUUCACACUUAAAGGAGCAAGGCAGUACCUCCAAAAGACAAUUCAUUCCAAUUAUCUGGGGAUGACAGGAGCCAUCUUCUUCUGGACAUGCUGAUUUGCAGCCAGUUUUUACAGCAAAACCAGCUGAACUAGCUUAUAAUAAAACUGAGCACAGUGGAAGUUUGACAACAAUGACAGGAGUGGACAGAAGGCUUAAAUCAACAGAAAUAAGUCCAUUCCCACAAUGGCUGUCAAAAUAAACAACAGAAAUAUGUUUGAAGUUGUACUAGACAGCUUAAAGAAAGAUAGAUUCUGGAGUGGCUAAGAAACAUUACCGUUUGGGUUCAGAUGGUGGCUUAGGAAAGUUAUUAACCCAUUCAUUUGAUAGAGUAGGUGAUAGUGAACACUUACUAACUGGAGGUUCUAUUUCUUAUUCUCUUCCUCUUUUACUCCAAGUUACUUCCAAAACCAGAAAAUGGAAUGAAACUUUUAGUUUAACCCAGUUUGGCACCUCUUUGUAACCUAUUGCUCACCAUUUUCUAGCAAUGUCCCUGAGACUGGUUGGGCACUGUCUUCUGUGUCGCCUUGGCCCUGGUGGAGGUGGAUCCACUUCCAUCAGUUGCUGUUCGUCUGGAGGUGCAUCCACCUCCAUUGGCUCUUCUUCAUUUUGAGGUUCAUCCACCUCCAUAGGCUCAACUGGAUCUUCAUCUACCUCCAUAGGCUCUUCUUUAAAUCUCCUCCCCAUCAGCAUUAGCUUCUUCUGUGGAGGAGGAUCCAUUACUAUUCCUUAGAAGGAGCACUUGUCUUUGGCUUCUGGUUUUCUCCUCUCUGCAACCAGUAUGGCAGUUGCACAGCUUGGAACGCCAGGUGGUAACAUCAGCAGGCCGUGAUGUGGUAACUCUAACAGUGUUCCAUGGCAACCCAGACAUGGCAGUGCUUGGAGUCGGGGCCUAUGGCCUGAGAGUUGCCCCAGUUUUGAAGGAGAAGGAAGGAUAGGGGGUACUGAGGGACCCUUUUCUGGGAAGGGCUCACCUGUGCCAUUUUGCUAGAGAGAACUUGUGGCCCUUGGGCAAAGGGCCCCUGGAGACUCCAGCCCCUUCUUCACCUUGUGCCUCAAAUCCAUUUGUACUGAUGAGUGGCAGGAUCAUGCCAGGAGAGUCCUCUACCUGGCAGCUGCCUGGCUGCCUGCAAGCAGAGCCACCCUGUUGCCCAAGAGUAGUGGAGUGGGGACAAAGUGUACUAACAAUCCUCAGGCAGCCUAGGGACAUGCAAUCAAUAAAGAAUUGCUGAAUUUCAAAGGUGAUGUGAGUUCUCUUUUCCUGUCCUUCACCCUUGCCCCUGGAGCAUGAAGGAAGUAGCAUUUCUGCUGCUCUAGUGUGGGCUUGGUGUCUCUCAUCCUUCCACCACUGAACACCUAUGAGCACCUCCUCAGCCCUGAUGGAUAUGGAUUCAUUUCUCUUUAGCUCGAGCUGGAUUCACCUCUCCAGGCUCUUCAUCAUCCUCAUCCACCUCUAUCAGCUCCUCAUCAAAUCUCCUCCCCAUGAGUUGCUCUGUGACUGUUGUGCCAGUAAGAGUGUGGGGGGGUGCUUGAGGACCCCUUUUCUGGGAAUGGCUCAUUUGUGCCUUUUUGCUUUCCAGAUAGAAUGUCUGGACUGGUACAGAGACGUGUGGAGGGUUCAGCCCCCUCCUCAUCCCAUAUUUGUGUUCUCCUCACCAAGAUGGUGCCAAGAGUGUCCUCGGGGGUCAAGUGGACUCCACUAACACCCAGCUGCCUGGCUAACUGAAGUGCAGCCACCCUGGUGCCUGGCAGUAGUGAUGAGGGGACAAAGCAUAACACUCUGUAGGCAGCCAAGGGAAAGGUAGUCAAAGAAUCAUAGAAUAUCCUGAGUUCCUUCAGCCUGCCCUGGGAAGCCAUGUGGACUCCCAUCAGGCUUUUCUUCUCUAUGCUGAAAAAAUCAAGGCACCUCAGUCACUUCUCAUAUGUCUUCCCUUCUAGAUCCUUCUCCAUCUUUGUAGCCCUUCAUUAGACAUAUGUCCUUCUAAUAUCGUGACACUCACAUCAGUGCUGGCUACAGAAGACAGAGGGUGAUAGUUCAAGGAAGUAGUCUCCUACACGUAAUGUCUUUGCUGAUUCAUUCUGAAUGUCAUCACUGAACAAUGUCUAAUAUAAGUCCCUACUUGGUCAGCUGACUAGCUUAGUCCGAGUCCUGAUGGCUUAGAAUUUCUGUCUUCUUCUCAUCAUGGUAUGCUUUUGAAGAAAGUAAUUUGUUCAUUUUUUUAUUGUAUUUCUUUUUUUUUUAAUGUCUGUAGAAUUUAUCUAUAUAGUCCGUAUAUAUAUGUUUCGGAUAUUAUCAUUUUUAGUGCUGAGAAUUUUUUUAGAAAACUGUUAUACUCAAUUAAGUAGGUGCAAAAAAGAUAUUAAAGAGAGACCUAUAUUGUGUUGACCAACGAUGAACAUAAAAACAUCUUCCAAUUAAUGUACAGGCAGCUUAUUUGACUGCCUCUGUUCAUAGCAGCUUACUUAAAAGAACCCACAGAACAGUUCUGUACUGGGUUACUGAGGGAAGGUGUCAGAGCAAGAGCAUUCUGUCCUCUUUAAGUACCAGGAUUUUUUUUGCAGCUGACUGACAGCUGCCUUGCUUGUGAGCUCUUGAAGAGUGUUAGCAGUGCUAA
RNAcentral lists this long non-coding RNA (3148 nucleotides) under Gallus gallus (chicken). The record is from RNAcentral. Lineage: Eukaryota; Metazoa; Chordata; Aves; Galliformes; Phasianidae.